CGGGGUGCAGCAGGCGCGAAAACUUUACAAUGCUGGCAACAGCGAUAAGGGGACCUCGAGUGCCAGGAUACAAUCUUGGCUGUCGCGAUGCCUAAAAAGCAUUGCAUAGCAAGGGCCGGGCAAGACCGGUGCCAGCCGCCGCGGUAACACCGGCGGCUCGAGUGGUAACCGCUAUUAUUGGGUCUAAAGGGUCUGUAGCCGGCCGGAUAAGUCUUUUGGGAAAUCCAGCUGCUCAACAGUUGGGCUUUCAGAAGAUACUGUUCGGCUCGAGACCGGGAGAGGUGAGAGGUACUUCAGGGGUAGGGGUGAAAUCUUGUAAUCCUUGAAGGACCACCAGUGGCGAAGGCGUCUCACCAGAACGGAUCUGACGGCAAGGGACGAAAGCUAGGGGCACGAACCGGAUUAGAUACCCGGGUAGUCCUAGCCGUAAACGAUACUCGCUAGGUGUCAGCCACGGUGCGACCGUGGUUGGUGCCGUAGGGAAGCCGUGAAGCGAGCCACCUGGGAAGUACGGCCGCAAGGCUGAAACUUAAAGGAAUUGG
RNAcentral lists this ribosomal RNA (542 nucleotides) under uncultured archaeon. RNAcentral describes it as "bacterial SSU rRNA". It matches the Rfam family "Archaeal small subunit ribosomal RNA", at positions 326 to 868 of the family's 1478-position model. The record is from RNAcentral.